Non-coding RNA from Kogia breviceps (pygmy sperm whale), 726 nucleotides. NCBI's taxonomy places the organism in Eukaryota, Metazoa, Chordata, Mammalia, Artiodactyla, Physeteridae. The record is from RefSeq and is a predicted model, not a curated record.
GAAAAGAUAAUGAGUAGGGCACAAUCCUUCCCUCACAGAACUGCAGUCCAUUGAGGGCCAUAGAUACACAUAGCUACUACCUUGAAGUGAUGGGCUUUACAAGGACCGGAUGAGCAAAGGGCUGUGAAUGUCAGAAGGAAAGAGGCCUCUAAUGCACCUAGAACUGUGUGACUGUUAAAGUAACCCAGAAGCCAGAGGCCAGCCCCGGUCCCCGCAAUGCUGCCAUUGUAGCAGCUGCAGAGCCGCCGUUACACCAUCGUAGCAACAGCUAGAGAGCAAGGUGAAGCCAGGGCCGGCAACCUCAGUGUUGUGGUUAACAGGUGUUGAAGCAAGUAUGAAGAAAAUGUUAAGAUCAAGCCACAGCCGGGUUUUGAGAGAUGAUGGGCAAGUUGAGGAAUUCCUGACACCUUUGGACCUUGAAGCAAUAGAGAUUUGUCCCAGGCCAGGUUAGUGCUCUGCACUGUCCCUUUCUUCCUUUCAAUAGGCUUGCUUCCCCUCAGGUUCCAAGAGCUGAGUUAGUCACACUCUGGUUCAUGGCACUCUGUUGACAUGGGUCUAUGCACAGCCCCUCAUUUAUUUCAUUAUGUUAUAUUUUAAUUUUUAUUUCAUUUUCCCCCUUCAACCAUGAUCCCUACACCCAUUCCUUCCUUCCCACAGAGGCCUCUAGUCUGGUGGAUUUGGCAGAUGUCCUCAGAUAUUUAUGCCUUGUUUAAAGAAGUUCUCUUC